GCUGUUCAGGGCGCUUUCUGCCUUCACUCGUAAUGAAAAGGUCGCGAGUUCGAUUCUCGCAGGCAGCU
This 68-nucleotide transfer RNA is filed under the name Rhodococcus (subgen. Prescottella) equi. Its description in RNAcentral is "Rhodococcus hoagii tRNA-Thr". Lineage: Bacteria; Bacillati; Actinomycetota; Actinomycetes; Mycobacteriales; Nocardiaceae. The record is from RNAcentral.